UAUCUACAGGCUUAACACAUGCAAGUCGAGGGGCAUCAGGAAGAAAGCUUGCUUUCUUUGCUGGCGACCGGCGCACGGGUGAGUAACACGUAUCCAACCUGCCCUUUACUCGGGGAUAGCCUUUCGAAAGAAAGAUUAAUACCCGAUAGCAUAAUGAUUCCGCAUGGUUUCAUUAUUAAAGGAUUCCGGUAAAGGAUGGGGAUGCGUUCCAUUAGGUUGUUGGUGAGGUAACGGCCCACCAAGCCUUCGAUGGAUAGGGGUUCUGAGAGGAAGGUCCCCCACAUUGGAACUGAGACACGGUCCAAACUCCUACGGGAGGCAGCAGUGAGGAAUAUUGGUCAAUGGGCGCUAGCCUGAACCAGCCAAGUAGCGUGAAGGAUGAAGGCUCUAUGGGUCGUAAACUUCUUUUAUAUAAGAAUAAAGUGCAGUAUGUAUACUGUUUUGUAUGUAUUAUAUGAAUAAGGAUCGGCUAACUCCGUGCCAGCAGCCGCGGUAAUACGGAGGAUCCGAGCGUUAUCCGGAUUUAUUGGGUUUAAAGGGAGCGUAGGUGGACUGGUAAGUCAGUUGUGAAAGUUUGCGGCUCAACCGUAAAAUUGCAGUUGAUACUGUCAGUCUUGAGUACAGUAGAGGUGGGCGGAAUUCGUGGUGUAGCGGUGAAAUGCUUAGAUAUCACGAAGAACUCCGAUUGCGAAGGCAGCUCACUGGACUGCAACUGACACUGAUGCUCGAAAGUGUGGGUAUCAAACAGGAUUAGAUACCCUGGUAGUCCACACAGUAAACGAUGAAUACUCGCUGUUUGCGAUAUACAGUAAGCGGCCAAGCGAAAGCAUUAAGUAUUCCACCAGGGGAGUACGCCGGCAACGGUGAAACUCAAAGGAAUUGACGGGGGCCCGCACAAGCGGAGGAACAUGUGGUUUAAUUCGAUGAUACGCGAGGAACCUUACCCGGGCUUAAAUUGCAGUGGAAUGAUGUGGAAACAUGUCAGUGAGCAAUCACCGCUGUGAAGGUGCUGCAUGGUUGUCGUCAGCUCGUGCCGUGAGGUGUCGGCUUAAGUGCCAUAACGAGCGCAACCCUUAUCUUUAGUUACUAACAGGUUAUGCUGAGGACUCUAGAGAGACUGCCGUCGUAAGAUGUGAGGAAGGUGGGGAUGACGUCAAAUCAGCACGGCCCUUACGUCCGGGGCUACACACGUGUUACAAUGGGGGGUACAGAAGGCAGCUAGCGGGUGACCGUAUGCUAAUCCCAAAAUCCUCUCUCAGUUCGGAUCGAAGUCUGCAACCCGACUUCGUGAAGCUGGAUUCGCUAGUAAUCGCGCAUCAGCCACGGCGCGGUGAAUACGUUCCCGGGCCUUGUACACACCGCCCGUCAAGCCAUGGGAGCCGGGGGUACCUGAAGUACGUAACCGCAAGGAUCGUCCUAGGGUAAAACUGGUGACUGGGGCUA
RNAcentral lists this ribosomal RNA (1443 nucleotides) under uncultured organism. Its description in RNAcentral is "SSU rRNA". It matches the Rfam family "Bacterial small subunit ribosomal RNA". The record is from RNAcentral.